RNAcentral lists this unclassified non-coding RNA (658 nucleotides) under Hevea brasiliensis (rubber tree). The record is from RNAcentral. Lineage: Eukaryota; Viridiplantae; Streptophyta; Magnoliopsida; Malpighiales; Euphorbiaceae.
GGAGAAAAUAGAAAGAGAGUAAAAUAUUCAAUCUUGUUUGGUUAGGGAGUAAAGGGUAGAUGAGGGUGAGGGACUUACUAGAAAUUAAGAAAAAAAUGUUUAACUUUGAAAUUAAGAAAGAAAAGGUUAAAAUUGAGAAGUCAAGACAACUUUAUAAAUUAUUACUCCUUCAACCUUUACCCCUUGAUUAGGGGGUUAACAUAUUGGAGCAUAAUGGAGGUUCAUGAGCACCCUUCAAUUGCCUUCCCCCUUAAAAAGGGGAAAAAAAGGUUCUUAAAUAGGGAGAUAUAUUCCCCGCCUUUUGUGCUGCAUAGCUUUUUUUUUUUACAAAUCUGCUUUUGUUCUGCUGCAAGUCUUAAGGAGAUUAAUACAAUAUGAUGUCUGGAAGGAAUUUUAUGAACUUGAUUUGGCUUAGGUGAAUCUAGGCUGCUAAUCAAUAGUGUUCCUAAUUUAUUUAUCUGGUUACCCAAAUAAGUUCGAUGUAGGACAGGUUAAACAACCAGCCUACAAAUGCUUUUAUGUUGGCAAAUUACAAGCAAUUAAUAAGAUUUAUGGUCAAGAUAUAAAAAGAGAAAUUUUUGAGAAAAUGGAGGCUUUUUUGAAGUGAUGAUCAGUAUCCAAUAUACUGUUGCAGCAGAUAGAGAGAGAGAGAGAGAGA